AUUCCGUCUCAAAAAAAAAAAAAAAUUACCUUCAGAUCAUGUGUAUAAGGGAUAGUAGACUGGUAAUAAUAAUGCCUAAUUUGUGAGAUUUCAGGAGCAACAAAA
Molecule: long non-coding RNA, 105 nt
Organism: Sapajus apella (tufted capuchin)
Lineage: Eukaryota; Metazoa; Chordata; Mammalia; Primates; Cebidae
Exons: 2
Source: RefSeq, a predicted model, not a curated record